This 373-nucleotide ribosomal RNA is filed under the name uncultured bacterium. RNAcentral describes it as "bacterial SSU rRNA". It matches the Rfam family "Bacterial small subunit ribosomal RNA", at positions 523 to 898 of the family's 1533-position model. The record is from RNAcentral.
AUACGGAGGGUGCAAGCGUUAUCCGGAUUCACUGGGUUUAAAGGGUGCGUAGGCGGGCAGAUAAGUCAGUGGUGAAAUCUUCGAGCUUAACUCGGAAACUGCCGUUGAUACUAUUUGUCUUGAAUAUUGUGGAGGUAAGCGGAAUAUGUCAUGUAGCGGUGAAAUGCUUAGAUAUGACAUAGAACACCAAUUGCGAAGGCAGCUUACUACACAAUGAUUGACGCUGAGGCACGAAAGCGUGGGGAUCAAACAGGAUUAGAUACCCUGGUAGUCCACGCCCUAAACGAUGAUUACUCGACAUACGCGAUAUACUGUGUGUGUCUGAGCGAAAGCAUUAAGUAAUCCACCUGGGAAGUACGAUCGCAAGAUUGAA